Molecule: ribosomal RNA, 969 nt
Filed under: Inostemma sp. AD-2014
Lineage: Eukaryota; Metazoa; Arthropoda; Insecta; Hymenoptera; Platygastridae
Description: bacterial LSU rRNA
Rfam family: Bacterial large subunit ribosomal RNA
Source: RNAcentral
AGCGAAAUUCCUUGUCGGGUAAGUUCCGACCCGCACGAAAGGCGUAACGAUUUGGGCACUGUCUCAACGAGAGACUCGGUGAAAUUUUAGUACCUGUGAAGAUGCAGGUUACCCGCGACAGGACGGAAAGACCCCAUGGAGCUUUACUGUAGUUUGAUAUUGAGUGUCUGUACCGCAUGUACAGGAUAGGUAGGAGCCGUAGAAGUCGGGACGCCAGUUUCGACUGAGGCGCUGGUGGGAUACUACCCUUGCGUUAUGGCCACUCUAACCCGCACCACUGAUCGUGGUGGGAGACAGUGUCAGAUGGGCAGUUUGACUGGGGCGGUCGCCUCCUAAAAGGUAACGGAGGCGCCCAAAGGUUCCCUCAGAAUGGUUGGAAAUCAUUCGCAGAGUGUAAAGGCAGAAGGGAGCUUGACUGCGAGAGCUACAACUCGAGCAGGGACGAAAGUCGGGCUUAGUGAUCCGGUGGUUCCGCAUGGAAGGGCCAUCGCUCAACGGAUAAAAGCUACCCUGGGGAUAACAGGCUUAUACCGCCCAAGAGUUCAUAUCGACGGCGGUGUUUGGCACCUCGAUGUCGGCUCAUCACAUCCUGGGGCUGAAGCCGGUCCCAAGGGUAUGGCUGUUCGCCAUUUAAAGUGGUACGCGAGCUGGGUUUAGAACGUCGUGAGACAGUUCGGUCCCUAUCUGCCGUGGACGUUUGAGAUUUGAGAGGGGCUGCUCCUAGUACGAGAGGACCGGAGUGGACGAACCUCUGGUGUUCCGGUUGUCACGCCAGUGGCAUUGCCGGGUAGCUAUGUUCGGAAGAGAUAACCGCUGAAAGCAUCUAAGCGGGAAACUUGCCUCAAGAUGAGAUCUCACUGGGAUCUUGAAUCCCCUAAAGGGCCGUCGAAGACUACGACGUUGAUAGGUUGGGUGUGUAAGCGCUGUGAGGCGUUGAGCUAACCAAUACUAAUUGCCCGUGAGGCUUGA